CGGUGAGGUAACCGCAAGGGGCCAGCCGCCGAAGGUGGGGUAGAUGAUUGGGGUGAAGUCGUAACAAGGUAGCCGUAUCGGAAGGUGCGGCUGGAUCACCUCCUUUCUAUGGAGA
Molecule: ribosomal RNA, 115 nt
Filed under: Paenibacillus polymyxa
Lineage: Bacteria; Bacillati; Bacillota; Bacilli; Caryophanales; Paenibacillaceae
Description: partial 16S ribosomal RNA
Rfam family: Bacterial small subunit ribosomal RNA
Source: RNAcentral